Molecule: ribosomal RNA, 649 nt
Filed under: uncultured bacterium
Lineage: Bacteria
Description: bacterial SSU rRNA
Rfam family: Bacterial small subunit ribosomal RNA
Source: RNAcentral
ACUGACGCUGAUGGACGAAAGCGUGGGGAGCGAACAGGAUUAGAUACCCUGGUAGUCCACGCUGUAAACGAUGCUAACUCGUUUUUGGGGCGCAAGCUUCAGAGACCAAGCGAAAGUGAUAAGUUAGCCACCUGGGGAGUACGAACGCAAGUUUGAAACUCAAAGGAAUUGACGGGGGCCCGCACAAGCGGUGGAUUAUGUGGUUUAAUUCGAUGAUACGCGAGGAACCUUACCAAGACUUAAAUGGGAAUUGAUCGGUUUAGAAAUAGACCUUCCUUCGGGCAAUUUUCAAGGUGCUGCAUGGUUGUCGUCAGCUCGUGCCGUGAGGUGUUAGGUUAAGUCCUGCAACGAGCGCAACCCCUGUCACUAGUUGCCAUCAUUCAGUUGGGGACUCUAGUGAGACUGCCUACGCAAGUAGAGAGGAAGGUGGGGAUGACGUCAAAUCAUCACGGCCCUUACGUCUUGGGCCACACACGUAAUACAAUGGCCGGUACAGAGGGCAGCUACACAGCGAUGUGAUGCGAAUCUCGAAAGCCGGUCUCAGUUCGGAUUGGAGUCUGCAACUCGACUCUAUGAAGCUGGAAUCGCUAGUAAUCGCGCAUCAGCCAUGGCGCGGUGAAUACGUUCCCGGGCCUUGUACACACCGCCC